UGGGGAAUCUUGCGCAAUGGCCGAAAGGCUGACGCAGCGACGCCGCGUGGGGGAUGAAGCAUUUCGGUGUGUAAACCCCUGUUGCCCGGGACGAACAGCGCUUUUCGAGGCGCCUGACGGUACCGGGUGAGGAAGCACCGGCUAACUCCGUGCCAGCAGCCGCGGUAAUACGGAGGGUGCGAGCGUUGUCCGGAAUCACUGGGCGUAAAGGGCGCGUAGGCGGCGCGGGAAGUCCGUGGUGAAAGCCCGAGGCUCAACUUCGGGUCGGCCAUGGAUACUCCUGGGCUUGAGCACUGUAGAGGCAGGUGGAAUUCCGGGUGUAGCGGUGGAAUGCGUAGAGAUCCGGAAGAACACCGGUGGCGAAGGCGGCCUGCUGGGCAGUAGCUGACGCUGAGGCGCGACAGCGUGGGGAGCAAACAG
RNAcentral lists this ribosomal RNA (420 nucleotides) under uncultured bacterium. RNAcentral's name for it is "bacterial SSU rRNA". It matches the Rfam family "Bacterial small subunit ribosomal RNA", at positions 355 to 775 of the family's 1533-position model. The record is from RNAcentral.